GACUCCGAGGAAGCAGUGUGUUGCAGAUAGAGGGACCAGCAAGGGUACAGUGCAGAGAGCUGGUGGGUGUGUAAGGGACACUUAGGAGACUUGAGGAGUGUCGGAGGAGGCAGUCACCGAAGUUUGUACCCAUGUUCUCCUGGCAGUGCGUGGGGACAAGGGAGGGCAGAGAGACAGACAGGAGAUGAACACAAAUGUGUUGAUGGUGGCUUAGACUCAGCCAGCAACACAGGACACGUGACGAGGGCUGGCGAGGGGCCACACUCUGUCUUCCUUUCUGCUUUCCUUUCACACCAUGGGCCCCAGGCUGUGGGUCAGCAGACUUUCCCUGGGACUACCAAGGAGCCUGCAGCCUCUCUAGGGUCAGCCCUGGACCCCGUCCCUGGAACAGUUGCUGUCUCCCCAAUCCCUAAGCCCACUUAGACCCCUGCCUGCCACUGGGCCACUACUGCCUGAGGAAGCAGCCCAUAGCAGGUGUCAACUAUCUGAGGCUCUGAAAUGAUGAGAAGACCGUGGCCACAAUGUCCAAGUGGAAAAGGGAAGCUUGGGGCCAAACCUCACCAGAAACCCCGGUGUCCCAUCUCUGCAAAUGCCUUGGAAGC
Molecule: long non-coding RNA, 602 nt
Filed under: Cricetulus griseus (Chinese hamster)
Lineage: Eukaryota; Metazoa; Chordata; Mammalia; Rodentia; Cricetidae
Description: lncRNA (ENSCGRG00015042136.1)
Source: RNAcentral